Anguilla anguilla (European eel) is the source of this 234-nucleotide small nucleolar RNA. RefSeq annotates it as small nucleolar RNA SNORA53. The transcript has a single exon. The record is from RefSeq and is a predicted model, not a curated record. NCBI's taxonomy places the organism in Eukaryota, Metazoa, Chordata, Actinopteri, Anguilliformes, Anguillidae.
AACACGCUCCCUUAGAUCCACCUCUGGGGGAACGGCCCCUCUGCCGUGAGCCGCGGUCGUCUCCCAGGCAACCGCUGGGCUCCGGCGGAGGGUCUCCCGGCAACCUCCCGGUUGUACGGUCAGAGGUGCUUGAGUCAUUGGCGUGUGAGAGUAGUCUACCUGCAGGCCAGCCUCAGUGCUGCCCUGGCCUCUGACGAGACAUGCCCAGUGCAGCCCGGCUGGCCUCCGGACACG